AUUGAACGCUGGCGGCAUGCCUUACACAUGCAAGUCGAACGGCAGCACGGGAGCAAUCCUGGUGGCGAGUGGCGAACGGGUGAGUAAAGCAUCGGAACGUGCCCAGUCGCGGGGGAUAACGUAGCGAAAGUUACGCUAAUACCGCAUACGAUCUAUGGAUGAAAGCGGGGCAUCGCGAGACCUCGCGCGAUUGGAGCGGCCGAUAUCAGAUUAGAUAGUUGGUGGGGUAAAGGCUAACCAAGCCGACGAUCUGUAGCUGGUCUGAAAGGACGACCAGCCACACUGGGACUGAGACACGGCCCAGACUCCUACGGGAGGGAGCAGUGGGGAAUUUUGGACAAUGGGCGCAAGCCUGAUCCAGCCAUGCCGCGUGCAGGAUGAAGGCCUUCGGGUUGUAAACUGCUUUUGUACGGAACGAAAAGGUUUGACUUAUUACGUUGGACUCAUGACGGUACCGUAAGAAUAAGCACCGGCUAACUACGUGCCAGCCGCCGCAGUAA
This 500-nucleotide ribosomal RNA is filed under the name uncultured bacterium. RNAcentral describes it as "partial 16S ribosomal RNA". It matches the Rfam family "Bacterial small subunit ribosomal RNA", at positions 30 to 523 of the family's 1533-position model. The record is from RNAcentral.